Esox lucius (northern pike) is the source of this 566-nucleotide long non-coding RNA. NCBI's taxonomy places the organism in Eukaryota, Metazoa, Chordata, Actinopteri, Esociformes, Esocidae. The record is from Ensembl.
UGGAGGGGCUACACCUGUAUGUAGGUGAAUGGGGAGGGGCUACACCUGUAUGUAGGUGAAUGUGGAGGUUACACCUGUAUGUAGGUGAAUGUGGAGGGGCUACACCUGUAUGUAGGUGAAUGGGGAGGUUACACCUGUAUGUAGGUGAAUGUGGAGGUUACACCUGUAUGUAGGUGAAUGAGGGGGUUUACACCUGUAUGUAGGUGAAUGGGGAGGUUACACCUGUAUGUAGGUGAAUGGGGAGGUUACACCUGUAUGUAGGUGAAUGGGGAGGUUACACCUGUAUGUAGGUGAAUGGGGGGGGGGGGUUACACCUGUGUGUAGGUGAAUGAAACGGCAGGGAUGCUUUUGGCUUUGAUUCCCACAGUUUGAGAAGAUAAACUGAUGCAGUCUCUCACACGGCUUAGCGCUCACUGCUUUAGGUCCCUCUGGAAAACAGCGUCUGCCUAACGACGUGCUACUAUGAGGCUAGCCACAUGGCAUUCUUCUCUCACUCUCCCAGCCAAUAUUAUGGCUACAGUCUCCCGAAUGUGACCUUGUCACAAUACAUUUCAUGCAAAUCGGCC